RNAcentral lists this ribosomal RNA (1179 nucleotides) under Escherichia coli. RNAcentral's name for it is "partial 23S ribosomal RNA". It matches the Rfam family "Bacterial large subunit ribosomal RNA", at positions 1 to 1213 of the family's 2925-position model. The record is from RNAcentral. Lineage: Bacteria; Pseudomonadati; Pseudomonadota; Gammaproteobacteria; Enterobacterales; Enterobacteriaceae.
GGGUUGUGAGGUUAAGCGACUAAGCGUACACGGUGGAUGCCCUGGCAGUCAGAGGCGAUGAAGGACGUGCUAAUCUGCGAUAAGCGUCGGUAAGGUGAUAUGAACCGUUAUAACCGGCGAUUUCCGAAUGGGGAAACCCAGUGUGAUUCGUCACACUAUCAUUAACUGAAUCCAUAGGUUAAUGAGGCGAACCGGGGGAACUGAAACAUCUAAGUACCCCGAGGAAAAGAAAUCAACCGAGAUUCCCCCAGUAGCGGCGAGCGAACGGGGAGCAGCCCAGAGCCUGAAUCAGUGUGUGUGUUAGUGGAAGCGUCUGGAAAGGCGCGCGAUACAGGGUGACAGCCCCGUACACAAAAAUGCACAUGCUGUGAGCUCGAUGAGUAGGGCGGGACACGUGGUAUCCUGUCUGAAUAUGGGGGGACCAUCCUCCAAGGCUAAAUACUCCUGACUGACCGAUAGUGAACCAGUACCGUGAGGGAAAGGCGAAAAGAACCCCGGCGAGGGGAGUGAAAAAGAACCUGAAACCGUGUACGUACAAGCAGUGGGAGCCUCUUUAUGGGGUGACUGCGUACCUUUUGUAUAAUGGGUCAGCGACUUAUAUUCUGUAGCAAGGUUAACCGAAUAGGGGAGCCGAAGGGAAACCGAGUCUUAACUGGGCGUUAAGUUGCAGGGUAUAGACCCGAAACCCGGUGAUCUAGCCAUGGGCAGGUUGAAGGUUGGGUAACACUAACUGGAGGACCGAACCGACUAAUGUUGAAAAAUUAGCGGAUGACUUGUGGCUGGGGGUGAAAGGCCAAUCAAACCGGGAGAUAGCUGGUUCUCCCCGAAAGCUAUUUAGGUAGCGCCUCGUGAAUUCAUCUCCGGGGGUAGAGCACUGUUUCGGCAAGGGGGUCAUCCCGACUUACCAACCCGAUGCAAACUGCGAAUACCGGAGAAUGUUAUCACGGGAGACACACGGCGGGUGCUAACGUCCGUCGUGAAGAGGGAAACAACCCAGACCGCCAGCUAAGGUCCCAAAGUCAUGGUUAAGUGGGAAACGAUGUGGGAAGGCCCAGACAGCCAGGAUGUUGGCUUAGAAGCAGCCAUCAUUUAAAGAAAGCGUAAUAGCUCACUGGUCGAGUCGGCCUGCGCGGAAGAUGUAACGGGGCUAAACCAUGCACCGAAGCUGCGGCAGCGACA